This is a long non-coding RNA of Fundulus heteroclitus (mummichog), 541 nucleotides long. RefSeq lists it as uncharacterized. The transcript is spliced from 3 exons. NCBI's taxonomy places the organism in Eukaryota, Metazoa, Chordata, Actinopteri, Cyprinodontiformes, Fundulidae. The record is from RefSeq and is a predicted model, not a curated record.
UCUGCUCUCGGCUUCUCUGCUCGUGUCAUCCGCCCAGACGGCGCACACCUGUGCGUCUCUUCCGCUCCUGUGGUUGGGUGAACACAGAACGGCGUCAUUUUGAACACGGCUGCACGUUCAAGGGGAGAGUUCAUGGUUUUACUUGUGCCACCAUCAACCAGAUCGUCAACAGGGAGUUUUUCCACCGUCCUGCAAUGGGGAACAACGUGUCGGGGAUAUCGGCGCUGCAGAGAUCCCAGCAGCAGGGCUUUCACAGACUCCGGAACUCCCAGAAAGGGCCUUGAAGAUCUAAACGCAACAUAAAACUCCAGACCAGCACAGAUUGUGUUCUGCUGGCAAACGUGACAGGAACCAAUGAGAGCCAAGAAGGAUUCACUGUACCCACAGGCUGGGCUUCAUAAACCACUUAGGCUGCAGAGCCGCUGAUUGAUGGCGACAAAAAUCCAUGCAAACGGAUUCAUUUGUUUUCCCACGCAACAGCUGCCCCAGAUAAAUCUAAUGUAACGAACAAUAAACACCCAUCAUGAACGGAAUUGCAGUU